Molecule: ribosomal RNA, 497 nt
Filed under: uncultured Ambispora
Lineage: Eukaryota; Fungi; Glomeromycota; Glomeromycetes; Archaeosporales; Ambisporaceae
Description: SSU rRNA
Rfam family: Eukaryotic small subunit ribosomal RNA
Source: RNAcentral
AGCAGCCGCGGUAAUUCCAGCUCCAAUAGCGUAUAUUAAAGUUGUUGCAGUUAAAAAGCUCGUAGUUGAAUUUUGGGUCUGGCCGGGCGGUCCGCCCUCUGGGUGAGCACUGUUCCGACGCCGGGCCUAUCCUUCUGGUGAGUCGGCAUGUCCUUUAUUGGGUGUGCCGGGGAACCAGGACUAUUACCUUGAAAAAAUUAGAGUGUUCAAAGCAGGCGUAUGCUCGGAUACAUUAGCAUGGAAUAAUGAAAUAGGACGCGUGGUGCUAUUUUGUUGGUUUCUAGAACCGCCGUAAUGAUUAAUAGGGAUAGUUGGGGGCAUUAGUAUUCAAUUGUCAGAGGUGAAAUUCUUGGAUUUAUUGAAGACUAACUUCUGCGAAAGCAUUUGCCAAGGAUGUUUUCAUUAAUCAAGAACGAAAGUUAGGGGAUCGAAGACGAUCAGAUACCGUCGUAGUCUUAACCAUAAACUAUGCCGACUAGGAAUCGGGCGAUGUAUUC